AUUCGGAUUGAUAACUAGGCGGCCGGUCUCAAUCACCUACGACGUCUGCCUUUUAAGUAUCCGAUAGAUUGACCUCUUGGCGAAGAUCUUACAUGUUUCCAAGCGCUUGCUUAUGCUUCCAGUAUUUGGCGACUUUUAAAUUUUCGCGACAUAC
Molecule: small nucleolar RNA, 154 nt
Filed under: Penicillium subrubescens
Lineage: Eukaryota; Fungi; Ascomycota; Eurotiomycetes; Eurotiales; Aspergillaceae
Source: RNAcentral